CGAAUCGCAAUGCUCGUAUAGUAGUAACAGUAAUAUGCAUAUCUGGAUGCCUGUUGCUUCAUUAAGGUUUCUGCACGCUGGCGUCUUCUCUUACCUCUACAUACCAGGAGCAAUUUCCGAUUUGGAAGGGAAUGUAAAUACAACGAGAGAGACAUACAUACAGUGUCGACCGGGCUGCCGGGAAAGAAGACACUGGUGAUCACACAUGACCACGGUGUACCAUCCCGACGACGCCCAGCUAUCUGAUACUGGUUAGUUCAUGUAGUCUUCAAGAGAAAAUCAAAAACUUACGUCUGUUACUUUGCAGACGAUAAGGAAAGUCAUACCCGAGAAAUUUGCAUUCCGCUCAUCUGAUUUUCAUGUUCUUGGAGUGAGACCUGUCGCCGUUGUUUUGUCCACCCCGGAGCAGUGAAGCUCGGUUGGUUGUUUAACGUGCAAAGGAUUUAAUAUCGGGCAAGGAUAAGAACAAGAAUCACUUGUCAAAAGGAUAAGAAGAAAGUAUACCACUCUUUAACAAAAUCAUCAAACAAACAGCAAACAUCAUGGGUGUAGCGCUAUACCUUGAUAAAGCCAAGACUGGUUUUGGUAGUUGGUGGCAAUCGUUCUCCUUGGCAGAAUGCAUCCGGGACCUCCGAGCAUCCAGGAAACUAGUCUUGUUCAUUGUUUUCGUCGCACUCCUCUUAGAUAACAUGUUGACCACUGUAGUCGUGCCAAUUAUUCCUGACUUCAUCUUCCACCAAGAGAAUCCAGGUUUAGAACGCCAUCCUAAUCACUCGAUACCUAUCAAUUGUAGCCUAAUCACAACCCCAAACCCAAGGGAAAUAUCACGCGCCAACACGACGUCGGCUCCAGUCGUUUGUUUGAAUAGUUCAAGUGUGGUUGCCAAUACCACAGCCGCGUCGAUAGAAAACCAGUACGACGAGAUACUUAGACACGAGAGUGUCCGUAUAGGACUGUUAUUUGCGUCUAAGUCCAUAGUUCAGCUGAUAACCAAUCCCUUGAUAGGCCCUCUAACUAACAGGAUAGGGUACUCUCUGCCUAUGUUUACUGGAUUUCUAAUCAUGUUUGCUUCAACGUUAGUGUUUGCAUUUGGUGAGAGUUUUGCCCUCCUCCUAGUGGCCCGUAUGAUCCAAGGUAUAGGAUCAUCGUGUUCGUCUGUAGCAGGGAUGGGUAUGCUGGCCCAGCGCUUUCCCGACGAUGCUGAGCGGGGAGCCGCUAUGGGGUUUGCUCUAGCAGGACUCGCUCUCGGGGUUCUAAUUGGACCCCCUUUUGGAGGAGUGAUGUACGAGUUUGUAGGCAAAGCUUCUCCGUUUCUUAUCCUCGCUAUUCUAGCAUUGUUUGAUGGUCUUCUUCAGUUGUUGCUGCUAAACCCUGUUUGGACCAAAGAAGAUCACAUGGAAGGAACUCCUAUUCUUAAACUUCUAAAGGAUCCAUACGUUCUUAUUGCUGCAGGUUGUAUAACAUUUGGUAACAUGGGAAUAGCAUUGCUGGAGCCAUCGCUUCCGCUUUAUAUGUUGGAUAAAAUGGAAGCAGAAAAAUGGCAACUUGGUGCUAUAUUCCUUCCCGCCAGUGUAUCAUAUCUCAUCAGUACUAACAUCUUUGGAGCAUUAGGGCAUAGAAUAGGAAGAUGGCUAGUUUCCCUACUAGGUAUGAUCAUUGGAGGUAUCGCAAUGAUGUUGAUCCCGUUGUCACAAAGAGUCCCCCAUUUAAUAGGCCCCAAUUUCUUCGUCGGCUUUGGUGUAGGCAUGGUAGAUGCAUCGAUGAUGCCCAUCAUGGGUCAUCUGGUAGACAUACGUCAUGUAUCAGUAUAUGGUAGUGUCUACGCCAUAGCCGACGUAGCAUUUUGUCUGGGGUUUGCUGUCGGUCCUUCAUUGAGUGGAUCGAUUGUUGAAUCUAUCGGAUUCCCAUGGCUAGUAAGAAUAGUCGCCAUUAUAGAUUUCCUCUACGCACCCCUCCUAAUAUUUCUCAGAAACCCACCAGCCAACGAAGAAAAUGAGCCUUGUACACGUUGUAGCAGCGAAGAAAUUUGACCAGGCAGAAGUUUUGAAAUUAAGAUUGAGGAUUGAAAAUUAAAGAUUUGCAGCUGGCCUAAGGGUAUACUGUUGCAAGAGCAGAUUCCUGUGUCCUACACAGCCGACCAACAACGGGACUAUCAGACGAUGGACGGACGAUACGGACGA
Molecule: unclassified non-coding RNA, 2180 nt
Filed under: Lytechinus variegatus (green sea urchin)
Lineage: Eukaryota; Metazoa; Echinodermata; Echinoidea; Temnopleuroida; Toxopneustidae
Description: synaptic vesicular amine transporter-like, transcript variant X2
Source: RNAcentral